AGUGGCGGACGGGUGAGUAACGCGUGAGAAUCUGCCUUGGGGUCGGGGACAACCACUGGAAACGGUGGCUAAUACCGGAUAAGCCGAUUGGUGAAAGAUUUAUUGCCCGAAGAGGAGCUCGCGUCUGAUUAGCUAGUUGGUGAGGUAAGAGCUCACCAAGGCAGCGAUCAGUAGCUGGUCUGAGAGGACGAUCAGCCACACUGGGACUGAGACACGGCCCAGACUCCUACGGGAGGCAGCAGUGGGGAAUUUUCCGCAAUGGGCGAAAGCUGACGGAGCAAGACCGCGUGAGGGAGGAAGGCUCUUGGGUUGUAAACCUCUUUUCUCAGGGAAGAAGCUCUGACGGUACCUGAGGAAUCAGCCUCGGCUAACUCCGUGCCAGCAGCCGCGGUAAUACGGAGGAGGCAAGCGUUAUCCGGAAUUAUUGGGCGUAAAGCGUCCGCAGGUGGCGAUUCAAGUCUGCUGUCAAAGCACGGGGCUUAACUCCGUAAAGGCAGUGGAAACUGAAUAGCUAGAGUGCCGUAGGGGUAGAGGGAAUUCCCGGUGUAGCGGUGAAAUGCGUAGAGAUCGGGAAGAACAUCGGUGGCGAAAGCGCUCUACUGGACGGCAACUGACACUCAGGGACGAAAGCUAGGGGAGCGAAUGGGAUUAGAUACCCC
Molecule: ribosomal RNA, 659 nt
Filed under: uncultured bacterium
Lineage: Bacteria
Description: bacterial SSU rRNA
Rfam family: Bacterial small subunit ribosomal RNA
Source: RNAcentral